Molecule: unclassified non-coding RNA, 2629 nt
Filed under: Hevea brasiliensis (rubber tree)
Lineage: Eukaryota; Viridiplantae; Streptophyta; Magnoliopsida; Malpighiales; Euphorbiaceae
Source: RNAcentral
GUUUAAGAUAAUUUGUCUUUAAACUUUUCUGCCUUUCUUGCAUUACUAUGUCCUAUCACUUCAUCGAAAAUAAUUUUGCCUUCCUCAGAAUUAAUUUUGUAUUGUUUUGAUGGACUUAAAAAUUUUUCGGCUUUUCUAGCUUUCAGUGUUAGUGAAUUGUUAAAUAGAAGAUACCAAAUGUUAAACAUGCGGAUCCAAAAUGAUGAAGUCCCGUCCUCUGCCGCCCACUUGUAGUCAAGUUUUGCUAACUCACCAUACUGAAUUUGAGAAGAGAAUAUAUUUCCUUCUGUAUUUCUCUGUGAUGCUUGAAUAGUUGAAUACUAUUCUUUAUUAUGUUCUGAAUUUUCCAGAAACUUUAGUUCGUUUGAUCCCUGUAAUUCUACAAUUUCAAGUGCAUUUUUUUCUCGUUGUAAAAGGUUUAACACGUCAUUUGUAUUCCAAAGAGCAUUGCUUUCUUUGUCCUCGACUUCCACAUUCUUUCAAUUUGUAAUUUUACCAGUGGAUGUAAUAACUAAUAUUUAGAUUGACUGACAAGGCUAAAGAUCUUUCUUUCUUUCUUUCUUUCUCCCUGUGUGGCUAUCUACAGAUAUUUGAAAAGAUGAACAAGCAUGUGAUGUAUAAGCGGAUACUCUGAUCACCAGUCUGUGAGUGUACCUCCAAAAAUUUUCAAUCCCAAAAUGCUUUUGCUGCUUAAGUUCCAAAAGAUACCAAAGAAUGGUUCGUGAAACUGAUUUGGUCAUAAUUGGAGUCUCUGUUGGUUUGGCCCUUGGUGUUGCGAUAGCUUCUCUAGUAUUUUUUGGCAUAAGGUGGUAUAAGAAUCGUGCUCAUCUCCGACAGUGUGCAAAUGAGCGUAGUCUAGCAACCCUUCCUAUACGCAUAAAUGGCUUGGAGACUAGCAAUGACUUCAGUGCAUCACUUACAAAUUCCACAACCAUUCACCAAUCAGAACAACCUCCGAAAAGUUCACAAUUUUUUUGGUGGAAUCACCACAGUAAAGAUCAGUUUGCGUCUACAUCAGGCAUACUUAGAUAUUCUUACAAGGAUAUUCAGAAAGCAACACAAAAUUUUACAACUAUAUUGGGACAAGGUUCAUUUGGUCCUGUGUAUAAAGCUGUGAUGCCUGGUGGAGUAGUUGCCGUAAAGGUUCUUGCUUCUAAUUCAAAACAAGGGGAGAAAGAGUUUCAAACAGAGGUAUCAUUAUUGGGAAGGCUGCAUCACCGGAAUCUUGUGAAUUUGUUAGGAUAUUGUGUCGAUAAAGGACAGCACAUGUUGAUCUACGAGUUCAUGAGUAAUGGGAGCUUGGCAAACCUUCUGUACAGUAAGCUCAGAAGCCCCCAUUUGUUUGAUUUGUUAUACGUUUUCAUGUUUUGGUAAAUAUCCAACCAUAUAGAAGGAAACUUCAUUGAUUGAAGCUGUAUUAUACAUUGUGGUCAUAGGUUAUUGUUUUCUGUUGCUAAAAUUUUGUGCAGCAUGGAAUUAUGCCUUUUCUCAUAUAAUAAGAUGGCAAUAUCAGUUUCUUUUUUCUUAUCUCUUUAUCUCUUAAAAAUGAACAUGUACAUUGAACCAGAUGAAGAAGAACUAGUUUUGGGCUGGGAAGAAAGGCUUCAAAUUGCUCUAGAUGUAUCACAUGGAAUAGAAUAUCUUCAUGAAGGGGCAGUCCCACCUGUCAUACAUCGUGAUUUGAAGUCAGCUAACAUACUCUUGGACCAAUCAAUGAGAGCUAAGGUUGCUGAUUUUGGACUCUCAAAGGAAGAGGCCUAUGAUGGACGCAACUCUGGUCUGAAAGGUACAUAUGGCUACAUAGAUCCGGUGUAUGUAACUACAAACCAAUUCACCAUGAAGAGUGACAUCUACAGUUUUGGAGUCGUCAUAUUAGAGUUGGUAACAGGCAGGCUGCCCACAGAUCCAGAGUUUGGAGAGAAAGACUUGGUGAAAUGGGUUUACUCCACCUUAGACCAAAAAGGAGUGGAUCAAGUAAUUGAUCCCAAACUUGAUUCCAGUUUCAAGGAUGAAAUUUGCAGGGUUCUUGAUGUUGGUCUUCGCUGCACUAGCUCUCUUCCCAUCAGCCGGCCUUCAAUGCGGAGGGUGGUGAACAUGCUGCAAGAGGCAGGUGUAGAAAGCAAGCUUAAAUCCAGCAAGAAGGAUGGGAAGCUCUCUCCGUAUUACCAUGAAGAAGCCUCUGAUGAAGUGCAGUUGAGAAUAGAGAGUUAAUUGGUGGUGAAUUUUCAUUACUGCCUCUUGAUGAUGUUUGAUUUCAUAGGGCAAAGGGAAUGAUUGAUGAAAUGACAGGAGAUAGAUCUCUCCACAUGCUCUCUUUGAAAAUUAUAGCCUACAUUUAAGACCACAGAUUAAGACAAGAAAAAGCUUGCAAUUAUUGGUGCCUGCUAUUUUAGUUGCUGUCUUCCUCUUUAAUUAGGUAAUUGUAACAUGGAAAAACAUGGGACUUGUCAAGAAAUGAACCGGACAUUUCCAUUUAGCAAUAGUUGUUAUACAUCAGUAUCAUCAAUACAAAAUUUAGAAAGAUCCAAUAUUUUUGAACCUUUACCUUCAUUUCGCCCUAUAUUGUGAAUCUAUGAUCCAGAGGUUGCUUUGUUUUGAUGCAAGGGAAAUCUAAUCUUGUUAACGGGAA